Molecule: ribosomal RNA, 436 nt
Filed under: uncultured bacterium
Lineage: Bacteria
Description: bacterial SSU rRNA
Rfam family: Bacterial small subunit ribosomal RNA
Source: RNAcentral
UACGGAAGGCAGCAGUGGGGAAUAUUGCACAAUGGGCGCAAGCCUGAUGCAGCCAUGCCGCGUGUAUGAAGAAGGCCUUCGGGUUGUAAAGUACUUUCAGUCGUGAGGAAGGUGUUAAGGUUAAUAACCUUAGCAAUUGACGUUAGCGACAGAAGAAGCACCGGCUAACUCCGUGCCAGCAGCCGCGGUAAUACGGAGGGUGCGAGCGUUAAUCGGAAUUACUGGGCGUAAAGGGCACGCAGGCGGUUAAUUAAGUUGGAUGUGAAAUCCCCGGGCUUAACCUGGGAAUGGCAUUCAAGACUGGUUAGCUAGAGUCUUGUAGAGGGGGUAGAAUUCCAUGUGUAGCGGUGAAAUGCGUAGAGAUGUGGAGGAAUACCGGUGCGAAGCGGCCCCUGGACAAGACUGACGCUCAUGUGCGAAAGCGUGGGGAGCAAAC